This 444-nucleotide long non-coding RNA is filed under the name Rhinopithecus bieti (black snub-nosed monkey). Its description in RNAcentral is "lncRNA (ENSRBIG00000046806.1)". Lineage: Eukaryota; Metazoa; Chordata; Mammalia; Primates; Cercopithecidae. The record is from RNAcentral.
UGAAAGAGAAGUGUACACUAAUGUAGUUAUGAAUGCUCAGAAGAAAAGUGGGCUGUUUUGGGUAAGAAGAAACCCACAAAAAAGUGUGCUAGUUUGAUAGUGUUGGAGAAGUGCGGUUGGAUCCCUCCUUUGUGUAAAAUCUUGGAUCUCUCCUCCGACAGCUCAGGUUGAGCUCAUGAUACCUGUCUCCAUGAGGUAUAUGCCUACGGAACAAGAAAAAAUGUCAGAAUCAUAUUUUAUAACACCGGAUGGAAAGAAUGUCCUACUGCAUGGAAGUUAAUAACACAUUUUAUUUGUGCUCUGUACAACAGAAGACAAAGACUGAAGACAGCAGAUAGGAAGAGCCAGCAAACUGUAAUAUUUGAAAAUUCAUUGGAGUGUUCCAAGCAGAACAUUAAGGUAAUAUUUAUGUUCUGGAGAUAGUCCUAUGGAAAGAAAAUUCUC